UACGUAGGGGGCAAGCGUUGUCCGGAAUCAUUGGGCGUAAAGAGCGUGUAGGCGGCUCGGUAAGUCCGCUGUGAAAGUCCAGGGCUCAACCCUGGAAUGCCGGUGGAAACUGUCGAGCUAGAGUCCGGAAGAGGCGAGUGGAAUUCCUGGUGUAGCGGUGAAAUGCGCAGAUAUCAGGAGGAACACCGAUGGCGAAGGCAGCUCGCUGGGACGGUACUGACGCUGAGACGCGAAAGCGUGGGGAGCAAGCAGG
RNAcentral lists this ribosomal RNA (253 nucleotides) under uncultured bacterium. RNAcentral's name for it is "partial 16S ribosomal RNA". It matches the Rfam family "Bacterial small subunit ribosomal RNA", at positions 524 to 776 of the family's 1533-position model. The record is from RNAcentral.